UGGCUCAGAGCGAACGCUGGCGGCAGGCCUAACACAUGCAAGUCGAACGGAUCCUUCGGGAUUAGUGGCGGACGGGUGAGUAACACGUGGGAACGUGCCCUUUGGUUCGGAACAACUCAGGGAAACUUGAGCUAAUACCGGAUGUGCCCCUCGGGGGGAAAGAUUUAUCGCCAUUGGAGCGGCCCGCGUCUGAUUAGCUAGUUGGUGAGGUAAAGGCUCACCAAGGCGACGAUCAGUAGCUGGUCUGAGAGGAUGAUCAGCCACAUUGGGACUGAGACACGGCCCAAACUCCUACGGGAGGCAGCAGUGGGAAUCUUGCGCAAUGGGCGAAAGCCUGACGCAGCCAUGCCGCGUGAAUGAUGAAGGUCUUAGGAUUGUAAAAUUCUUUCACCGGGGACGAUAAUGACGGUACCCGGAGAAGAAGCCCCGGCUAACUUCGUG
Molecule: ribosomal RNA, 441 nt
Filed under: uncultured bacterium
Lineage: Bacteria
Description: bacterial SSU rRNA
Rfam family: Bacterial small subunit ribosomal RNA
Source: RNAcentral